This is a long non-coding RNA of Chenopodium quinoa (quinoa), 869 nucleotides long. RefSeq lists it as uncharacterized. The transcript has 3 exons. Lineage: Eukaryota; Viridiplantae; Streptophyta; Magnoliopsida; Caryophyllales; Amaranthaceae. The record is from RefSeq and is a predicted model, not a curated record.
UUCAUUUGCCACAUCACCGUUAAACAAACCCUUCACUUAACAAACCUUUCAUCAAUAAUAAAUAAAUCUGUUCAAAAAAUUUAUAUGUGAGACUGUAAUACCCCGUAUUUUUAACCCGUGAAUUAAAUCUCAAAGUAUCUUAUAUAGUAUAUUUUAAAAUUAUUUUAUAAAAUAUUAUUAUUAUUUGCAAUGAAUUUAAUUAUAUAAUACAAGUCAAGUCGAAAUUGUUUUUCAACCCUUAGUAUCGUGUUCCCGAUUCAAUAAUCUUGUUUCCGAGUUGAACUACAAAUUAUCAAUUGCAUUUUGGUUAAGCCCAAAUACUUAUUGUAGUACACUAGUACUACACAAAACUUGUACUACAUAUUUCUUCAUCCAAUACAAGUACUACUACCUCUAAAAAAAAAAUAAAAAAAUAAAAAAUAAAUAAAAAAAAAGUCUUCCUCCUAUUCUCUUAAAGCUCCUCCGUAACCACCCCGUUGCCGCCCAACCACCACCACCGGAGACCACCAACUAACCAUCAACCAACAAAGGAGGAUUGUCGAGUUCGUAAUUAAACCUUCGUGUUUGUUUGAUACGCUAAGAUCGAUCAAGAUAGGUGAUGGCGAUCAGACAACGUGAACUAUAUGCUGCAUUGGGAAUGAUGGGCGGUGAUCACCUAGUUUAAUUUAGUAUACAUAGUAUUAGUGGUGUAGCUAUUUUGAAAGUGUAUCAAACUAUUAUUAUUAAUGAAAGUUAAGUACUAUUUUCCGCUGCAAAACUCUGUUAAGCCUUACGUAAUCACGUGUCGGUAAUACUCCCAUGUUACUCCCUAAAGUUGGAUUAUUAUUGUAAAGUGGCCUGGGCUCAAACAAGAUUUAUUUUACAGACAU